Molecule: ribosomal RNA, 501 nt
Filed under: uncultured bacterium
Lineage: Bacteria
Description: partial 16S ribosomal RNA
Rfam family: Bacterial small subunit ribosomal RNA
Source: RNAcentral
AUUGAACGCUGGCGGCAGGCUUAACACAUGCAAGUCGAGCGGGGGAAGGUAGCUUGCUACUGGACCUAGCGGCGGACGGGUGAGUAAUGCUUAGGAAUCUGCCUAUUAGUGGGGGACAACGUCUCGAAAGGGAUGCUAAUACCGCAUACGUCCUACGGGAGAAAGCAGGGGAUCUUCGGACCUUGCGCUAAUAGAUGCGCCUAAGUCGGAUUAGCUAGUUGGUGGGGUAAAGGCCUACCAAGGCGACGAUCUGUAGCGGGUCUGAGAGGAUGAUCCGCCACACUGGGACUGAGACACGGCCCAGACUCCUACGGGAGGCAGCAGUGGGGAAUAUUGGACAAUGGGGGGAACCCUGAUCCAGCCAUGCCGCGUGUGUGAAGAAGGCCUUAUGGUUGUAAAGCACUUUAAGCGAGGAGGAGGCUACUUUAGUUAAUACCUAGAGAUAGUGGACGUUACUCGCAGAAUAAGCACCGGCUAACUCUGUGCCAGCCGCCGCGGUAA